Etheostoma cragini (Arkansas darter) is the source of this 646-nucleotide long non-coding RNA. RefSeq lists it as uncharacterized. The record is from RefSeq and is a predicted model, not a curated record. The transcript is spliced from 2 exons. NCBI's taxonomy places the organism in Eukaryota, Metazoa, Chordata, Actinopteri, Perciformes, Percidae.
CAGUGGGGGAAAUAAGUAUUUGACCCCUUGCUGAUUUUGCAGGUUUGCCCACUUACAAAGAAUGCAAAGAUCUAUAAUUGUAAUCAUAUGUAUAUUCUAACAGUGAAAGACAGAAUCCCAAAGAAAAUUCCUGAAAAUCACAUCAUAUGAAUUUAUUAAAAUUGAUAACCAUCUGAUGAGGAAAAACAAGUAUUUGACCCCCUGGACAAACAGCAUGUUAAUAAUUUGUAGAAAAGCCAUUAUUUGCCAGCACAGAUGUCAAACAAUUUUUAUAGUUGGUGACAAGGUUUGUGCACAUUUCUGCAGGGAUGUUGGCCCACUCCUCCCUGCAGACAGCCUCCAAAUCAUUCAGGUUCCGAGGUUGUCGCCUGGCAACUCGAAUUUUAAGCUCCCUCCAAAGACUUUCAAUUUGAUUCAGGUCUGGAGACUGGCUAGGCCACUUCAGAACCUUGAUGUGCUUCUUCUUCAGCCACUCUUUUGUUGCUUUGGCGGUGUGCUUAGGGUUGUUGUCGUGCUGAAACACCCAUCCUCGACCCAUCUUCAGCUCUCUCACUGAGGGAAGGAGAUGUUGGUCCAGAAUUCCACGAUACAUGGCCCCGUCCAUCCUCCCCUCAAUACGAUGGAGUUGUCCCGUCCCCUUGGCUGA